This 77-nucleotide transfer RNA is filed under the name Eubacteriales Family XIII. Incertae Sedis bacterium. RNAcentral describes it as "tRNA-Arg". It matches the Rfam family "tRNA". Rfam says of the family: Transfer RNA (tRNA) molecules are approximately 80 nucleotides in length. The record is from RNAcentral. Lineage: Bacteria; Bacillati; Bacillota; Clostridia; Peptostreptococcales; Anaerovoracaceae.
GCGUCAUUAGCUCAGCUGGAUAGAGUGUCGGCCUCCGAAGCCGAAGGUCGAGAGUUCGAAUCUCUCAUGACGCACCA